GAUGAACGCUGGCGGCGUGCCUAAUACAUGCCAGUCGAGCGAACGGACGAGAAGCUUGCUUCUCUGAUGUUAGCGGCGGACGGGUGAGUAACACGUGGAUAACCUACCUAUAAGACUGGGAUAACUUCGGGAAACCGGAGCUAAUACCGGAUGAUAUUUUGAACCGCAUGGUUCAAAAGUGAAAGACGGUCUUGCUGUCACUUAUAGACGGAUCCGCGCUGCAUUAGCUAGUUGGUAAGGUAACGGCUUACCAAGGCAACGAUGCAUAGCCGACCUGAGAGGGUGAUCGGCCACACGGGAACUGAGACACGGUCCAGACUCCUACGGGAGGCAGCAGUAGGGAAUCUUCCGCAAUGGGCGAAAGCCUGACGGAGCAACGCCGCGUGAGUGAUGAAGGUCUUCGGAUCGUAAAACUCUGUUAUUAGGGAAGAACAUAUGUGUAAGUAACUGUGCACAUCUUGACGGUACCUAAUCAGAAAGCCACGGCUAACUACGUG
This 497-nucleotide ribosomal RNA is filed under the name uncultured bacterium. RNAcentral describes it as "partial 16S ribosomal RNA". It matches the Rfam family "Bacterial small subunit ribosomal RNA", at positions 28 to 507 of the family's 1533-position model. The record is from RNAcentral.